CUCCCCAAAACCACACUUUCAGGUCUGAGGGUCCCUACCCACAGCUGGCUUCGACUGAUAAUGAGGAAUUGCCAUACAGCCAAUGGCUGGGCAGAAAGAUGGAGGUGGGACUUCUAGAUUGCACAGGCCUUUGUCCUUAUUCAGUGUGUCCUUCCUGGAACUCCACCAUAAUCUCCUGCCUCCAGACUGCUCCCACCCACCUCAGCAGUGAUGCUCCUGGCAGAGUGUUCUUCCUACAUUACAAAUUUGGCCAUGGAUCUCCUCCAUAUUCUCCAUCUCCUAUAGCAACAGUUCUUAAAGUAUAACCUGUGCUUAUUCAGGCUUAGGCAUUUGGCUGUCAGGGUCCCAAAGUUAAUGAAGUGGGUGUGUGUUGCUUUAAGGAAAUCAACCAGCAAUGUUUGAUGCCAGUGAUGAAAUGAGAAUUUGGGAAACACACAUCUGUCACCUUGAGCAUGGUGGUACACCGACCCUUGAUGAUUUUCUAGGUGAGACUGGUGGCCUUGUUUGAGGCAUUGUAUAAUGAGAUGUGCAUGUGUUCAGAAGAGUCGCAUGACUCAGUGAACUAAUAUUUCCAAAUGAUCAAUUUUGGGAAGACUAAAAUGUGUGUAUGUACAAAUGACCAAUCAGGUGUGUUUUAAUGCCCAAAUCUUCAUGAGUGUGGCUUUAUGUUCACAUUGCAGCUAACCCUGAACAAAAUACCACUUAGGACAGACUGACGUGUGUAAUCACAGCAUUCUUGU
RNAcentral lists this long non-coding RNA (740 nucleotides) under Mus musculus (house mouse). RNAcentral describes it as "predicted gene, 47436". Lineage: Eukaryota; Metazoa; Chordata; Mammalia; Rodentia; Muridae. The record is from RNAcentral.